RNAcentral lists this transfer RNA (73 nucleotides) under Actinomycetes bacterium. Its description in RNAcentral is "Actinobacteria bacterium tRNA-Val". It matches the Rfam family "tRNA". Rfam says of the family: Transfer RNA (tRNA) molecules are approximately 80 nucleotides in length. Their secondary structure includes four short double-helical elements and three loops (D, anti-codon, and T loops). Further hydrogen bonds mediate the characteristic L-shaped molecular structure. tRNAs have two regions of fundamental functional importance: the anti-codon, which is responsible for specific mRNA codon recognition, and the 3' end, to which the tRNAs corresponding amino acid is attached (by aminoacyl-tRNA synthetases). tRNAs cope with the degeneracy of the genetic code in two manners: having more than one tRNA (with a specific anti-codon) for a particular amino acid; and 'wobble' base-pairing, i.e. permitting non-standard base-pairing at the 3rd anti-codon position. Lineage: Bacteria; Bacillati; Actinomycetota; Actinomycetes. The record is from RNAcentral. RNAcentral also lists the same sequence under 1 other name.
GGGCGGUUAGCUCAGUUGGGAGAGCGCCUCGUUUACACCGAGGAGGUCGUCGGUUCGAAUCCGGCACUGCCCA